Molecule: ribosomal RNA, 411 nt
Filed under: uncultured Prevotella sp.
Lineage: Bacteria; Pseudomonadati; Bacteroidota; Bacteroidia; Bacteroidales; Prevotellaceae
Description: bacterial SSU rRNA
Rfam family: Bacterial small subunit ribosomal RNA
Source: RNAcentral
UGAGGAAUAUUGGUCAAUGGGGCGCGAGCCUGAACCAGCCAAGUAGCGUGCGGGAGGAAGGCCCUAUGGGUUGUAAACCGCUUUUACCGGGGGAUAAAGUGAGCGACGUGUCGCUCAUUGCAGGUACCCGGCGAAUAAGGACCGGCUAAUUCCGUGCCAGCAGCCGCGGUAAUACGGAAGGUCCGGGCGUUAUCCGGAUUUAUUGGGUUUAAAGGGAGCGUAGGCCGGAUGUCAAGCGUGUUGUGAAAUGCCGGGGCUCAACCUCUGCACUGCAGCGCGAACUGGUCUUCUUGAGUACGCACAACGUGGGCGGAAUUCGUGGUGUAGCGGUGAAAUGCUUAGAUAUCACGAAGAACUCCGAUUGCGAAGGCAGCUCACGGGAGCGCAACUGACGCUGAAGCUCGAAAGUGC